UAACUGCUUUUUCUCAGUUUCAGAAAUGAUCUUUCUACCUUCUUUACAAGGUUAAAAAGUUCUGUCAUGUGACAAUGCCAUUUCUUCUUCCUGAUAGUGGGAGGUGGGAGUUACAGGACACUGUGCAAACAUACGCAAGCAUUCUCACUCGACCAUGAGGCUUUGAUUAAUCAUUUCUAACGUUUGAGCUACAGACCGCAUGAAUAUUAUCAUCUUGACUACAGAUAUAUUUUGUUCUCAACGGAGGAAUGCUCCAGA
Long non-coding RNA from Rana temporaria (common frog), 258 nucleotides. RefSeq lists it as uncharacterized. NCBI's taxonomy places the organism in Eukaryota, Metazoa, Chordata, Amphibia, Anura, Ranidae. The transcript has 2 exons. The record is from RefSeq and is a predicted model, not a curated record.